AUUGCCCCAUGGCGCAGCCUGAUGCAGCCAUGCGCGGGUAUGAAGAAGCUCGGGUGUAAAGUACUUUCAGCGGGGAGGAAGGCGGUGGAGUUAUAGCUUCAUCGAUUGACGUUACCCGCAGAAGAAGCACGGCUAACUCCGUGCCAGCAGCCGCGGUAAUACGGAGGGUGCAAGCGUUUAUCGGAAUUACUGGGCGUAAAGCGCACGCAGGCGGUCUGUCAAGUCGGAUGUGAAAUCCCCGGGCUUAACCUGGGAACUGCAUUCGAAACUGGCAGGCUAGAGUCUUGUAGAGGGGGGUAGAAUUCCAGGUGUAGCGGUGAAAUGCGUAGAGAUCUGGAGGAAUACCGGUGGCGAAGGCGGCCCCCUGGACAAAGACUGACGCUCAGGUGCGAAAGCGUGGGGAGCAAACAGGAUUAGAUACCCUGGUAGUCCACGCCGUAAACGAUGUCGACUUGGAGGUUGUGCCCUUGAGGCGUGGCUUCCGGAGCUAACGCGUUAAGUCGACCGCCUGGGGAGUACGGCCGCAAGGUUAAAACUCAAAUGAAUUGACGGGGGCCCGCACAAGCGGUGGAGCAUGUGGUUUAAUUCGAUGCAACGCGAAGAACCUUACCUACUCUUGACAUCCAGAGAAUUCGGUAGAGAUACCUUAGUGCCUUCGGGAACUCUGAGACAGGUGCUGCAUGGCUGUCGUCAGCUCGUGUUGUGAAAUGUUGGGUUAAGUCCCGCAACGAGCGCAACCCUUAUCCUUUGUUGCCAGCGGUCCGGCCGGGAACUCAAAGGAGACUGCCAGUGAUAAACUGGAGGAAGGUGGGGAUGACGUCAAGUCAUCAUGGCCCUUACGAGUAGGGCUACACACGUGCUACAAUGGCGCAUACAAAGAGAAGCGACCUCGCGAGAGCAAGCGGACCUCAUAAAGUGCGUCGUAGUCCGGAUUGGAGUCUGCAACUCGACUCCAUGAAGUCGGAAUCGCUAGUAAUCGUAGAUCAGAAUGCUACGGUGAAUACGUUCCCGGGCCUUGUACACACCGCCCGUCACACCAUGGGAGUGGGUUGCAAAAGAAGUAGGUAGCUUAACCUUCGGGAGGGCGCUUA
This 1091-nucleotide ribosomal RNA is filed under the name Enterobacteriaceae bacterium. RNAcentral's name for it is "bacterial SSU rRNA". It matches the Rfam family "Bacterial small subunit ribosomal RNA", at positions 363 to 1456 of the family's 1533-position model. Lineage: Bacteria; Pseudomonadati; Pseudomonadota; Gammaproteobacteria; Enterobacterales; Enterobacteriaceae. The record is from RNAcentral.